UAUGUGAUCGUCUCUCGCAUAUCAAUAAGCGGAGGAAAAGAAACUAACAAGGAUUCCCCUAGUAACGGCGAGUGAAGCGGGAAGAGCUCAAAUUUGAAAUCUUAAAGGGUUUCCCUUUACGAAUUGUAGUUUAAAGAAGUGUUUUCUGUUGAGGUUCUGGUAAAAGUUCUUUGGAAUAGGACAUCAUAGAGGGUGAGAAUCCCGUAUUUGACCUUUACUUUCAACUUUGUGAUACACUUUCAAAGAGUCGGAUUGUUUGGGAAUGCAGUCCAAAAUGGGUGGUAAAUUUCAUCUAAAGCUAAAUAUUGGCGAGAGACCGAUAGCGAACAAGUACCGUGAGGGAAAGAUGAAAAGAACUUUGAAAAGAGAGUUAAACAGUACGUGAAAUUGUCAAAAGGGAAGCGUUUGACACCAGUGUUGUUAUUCUGAAAAUCAAUUAAAGAACUGUUUAUGCUAAGUUGUUUAGACUUUAUCAGCUAACUGUUUAGUUUUGAGCUUUUCUUUAAUGCACUUUUCAGUUAACAAGUCAACAUCAAUUUCUUUUGCUGUAAAAAAGCUUGAGGAAGGUGGCUUGAGAUUCGUCUUAAGUGUUUAUAGCCUCUUGCCUAUGCAGUCGGAGAGAUUGAGGUCUGCAGCGUAGAUCCUUCGGGGCUAAAUGCAUUUGUGCUAAGUUAUAGCAUUUUAUAGACAACUUGUUGACUAUGAUUUGUCUUGUAGCUUACUCGCUUAUGUUAUUUUACCUACGCUUAGGAUGUUGAUCUACAGAGCGAGAGU
This 774-nucleotide ribosomal RNA is filed under the name uncultured Neocallimastigales. RNAcentral describes it as "partial large subunit ribosomal RNA". It matches the Rfam family "Eukaryotic large subunit ribosomal RNA", at positions 24 to 628 of the family's 3401-position model. Lineage: Eukaryota; Fungi; Neocallimastigomycota; Neocallimastigomycetes; Neocallimastigales. The record is from RNAcentral.